UCCCUUCGUCCGAGAAAACUUGUCACCGACGAUAAUUUUUUCAAAAAAACCUUCGCUUUAAUCCGACAAACGAUCCAGUCCGCAUCGCGUCCUCCAUCAUCUCUUGAUUUUGCGACGACGACGGUGGCAUCCUCUCCCCCGGUCGCCUCGCCGCGCUCCGGCUGCCUUCUCCCCCUCAUCUCGCCGCUUUUCUUCGUCCGUGUUGCCUGAUACCGACGAGGGGGGAGGGGAGGGGAGAUCAAGAGGAAAGCGAUCCCCUUCUCUGCAAAGCGCUCGAUUUGCCGGCUCAAGGCUACGUGUUGUAGCGCCGAGGCCGGGGCCCAAGGCGAGGGUGCUGGUCGCCCGCCGGGGGAAUCUACGGCCUGGUCUUUGCGCUCGUGGCCAGGCAUAAGGGCUUCCAGCUGCUGGUGGCCCCUCCCAGUGGGCGUGCGGCGCCAGGAGGCGGGUGAGGGGAGGAAAUGAGGCAGAGCAACUCUGAGAGAAAUGAGGUAGAGGUGAAGAAAACCUACUGGAGCCGAAGCAUAUGUGCAAAGAGGUGACAUGGGGGUGAUUGGUGACACGAGUUCUGCUUAAGCUAUUAUUUUCCUUGUUUAUCAUCUGCAGAACAGAGUACUUAUGAUAUAAAGACUUGUGUUUCAAAUUGUUUUAGUUUAUAAAUGACUUUGGCCUUUA
Long non-coding RNA from Hordeum vulgare subsp. vulgare (domesticated barley), 672 nucleotides. RefSeq lists it as uncharacterized. The transcript is spliced from 2 exons. Lineage: Eukaryota; Viridiplantae; Streptophyta; Magnoliopsida; Poales; Poaceae. The record is from RefSeq and is a predicted model, not a curated record.